Molecule: ribosomal RNA, 334 nt
Filed under: Culex quinquefasciatus (southern house mosquito)
Lineage: Eukaryota; Metazoa; Arthropoda; Insecta; Diptera; Culicidae
Description: partial 16S ribosomal RNA
Source: RNAcentral
UGACUGUGCGAAGGUAGCAUAAUCACUAGUCUUUUAAUUGGAGGCUUGUAUGAAUGGUUGAAUGAGAUAUAUACUGUCUUUUUUAAAAUUAUAUAGAAUUUUAUUUUUUAAUUAAAAAGUUAAAAUAAAAUUAAAGGACGAGAAGACCCUAUAGAUCUUUAUUUUUGUUAUUUAUAAAUUAAAAAGAAUUUUAAAAUUUAUAAUUUAAUAAAAAAUUUUAUUGGGGUGAUAUUAAAAUUUAAAAAACUUUUAAAAUUUAUUAACAUAAAUAUAUGAAUAAAUGAUCCAGUUUUAUUGAUUAAAAAUUUAAGUUACCUUAGGGAUAACAGCGUAA